CCCCCUCUCUAACACCAAGUUAUUCACAAAUAAUCACCAAAACACUACCUAUAAACCCCUCUCUCUCUCUCUCUCUCUCUCUCUCUCUCUCUCUCUCUCUCUAGAUAUAUAUAUAUAUUGGGUGUAUUGUACUGUAGUUACAGAGCUAGCAAGUCGUUUUACUACAAUGUUUUCACACUGCCGCCGUCUGUGGAAGGUUGAUUAGAUGUGUGGUGCCUAAUUUGGGUACUACUUUCAUGACAAGAUAGAAGCGAAAUUGAAAGGAACCAUGCAGAGAGGUGGAGAGCGUACCGUGAUGGGGAGCAGAUGGAUUGGGGUAGCCGGCUGGAGGGUAGCCCUGGGGAGGGUAACCCUGCGGAGGGUAACCCUGCGGUGGGUAUCCCUGAGGUGGGUAUCCCUGAGGUGGGUAGCCCUGCUGCGGGGGGUACCCGCCUUGAGCCGGAGGGUAACCCUGAGGAGGGUACCCCCCAUGCUGUGGGGGGUACCCCUGGGGAGGAUAUCCAGAGUGGUGCCCAGUAGCAUAUCCAGCGAGCCCAUGAGCGAUGUUGGAGGCUAGCCCUUUGUCGCUGUGCUCUCCCCCGUCAUGCCCCUUUUCCUUGUCCUUGC
RNAcentral lists this long non-coding RNA (606 nucleotides) under Spirodela polyrhiza (greater duckweed). RNAcentral's name for it is "long non-coding RNA (SPOL_LNC002395)". Lineage: Eukaryota; Viridiplantae; Streptophyta; Magnoliopsida; Alismatales; Araceae. The record is from RNAcentral.